UCCAGACUCCUACGGGAGGCAGCAGUGGGGGAUAUUGCACAAUGGGGGAAACCCUGAUGCAGCGACGCCGCGUGGGCGAAGAAGUAUUUCGGUAUGUAAAGCCCUAUCAGCAGGGAAGAAGAAAUGACGGUACCUGAGUAAGAAGCACCGGCUAACUACGUGCCAGCAGCCGCGGUAAUACGUAGGGGGCAAGCGUUAUCCGGAUUUACUGGGUGUAAAGGGGGCGCAGACGGCGAUGCAAGCCAGAAGUGAAAGCCCGGGGCCCAACCCCGGGACUGCUCUUGGAACUGCGUGGCUGGAGUGCAGGAGGGGCAGGCGGAAUUCCUAGUGUAGCGGUGAAAUGCGUAGAUAUUAGGAGGAACACCAGUGGCGAAGGCGGCCUGCUGGACGAUGACUGACGCUGAGGCUCGAAAGCGUGGGGAGCAAACAGGAUUAGAUACCCCAGUAU
Molecule: ribosomal RNA, 448 nt
Filed under: uncultured bacterium
Lineage: Bacteria
Description: partial 16S ribosomal RNA
Rfam family: Bacterial small subunit ribosomal RNA
Source: RNAcentral